CGCGCCCGCAGGCGAGGCGAGCGCGCCCCUCGGGCUGCCAGAGGGCGGGGUCGGGCGGCCCCGCCCCUCCCAUCAGGCCCCGCCCCGUCCCUGGCGGCGCCGCAUCGAGGCGGCCAUUUUGUGGCGCGGGGCGGUCGGCGGCGCUGGGCUCGGCGCGGAGCGGGGCCCGGGGCGGGUCGGCUCCGGUCUCACCCUUUUCCCGUGCGGAUCCCUCGCUUACUCCUUAUCACCUUCAUACUUCCGUUCCUUGCUUGCCUACAGGUUUGACUUCUUGUGCUUCCUGUAGGAAAAGCCUUUUUUCAGGUAGACUUCUUAUAAGAGUCAGAAGUCGAAGUCCAGUUACUGCUGCAGUUUUACAACAGUGUUUGGAAUGUUUGCAGCCGUAUAAGCAACGAGUUUCUUCUUGGUGUGUGGUUUCAGCACAGCUGUGGUCAUCCACUUGCAAGGUCUUCUGA
This 455-nucleotide long non-coding RNA is filed under the name Calidris pugnax (ruff). RNAcentral describes it as "lncRNA (ENSCPUG00000016825.1)". Lineage: Eukaryota; Metazoa; Chordata; Aves; Charadriiformes; Scolopacidae. The record is from RNAcentral.